Molecule: ribosomal RNA, 490 nt
Filed under: uncultured bacterium
Lineage: Bacteria
Description: partial 16S ribosomal RNA
Rfam family: Bacterial small subunit ribosomal RNA
Source: RNAcentral
AUUGAACGCUGGCGGCAGGCCUAACACAUGCAAGUCGAACGGUAACAGGAAGAAGCUUGCUUCUUUGCUGACGAGUGGCGGACGGGUGAGUAAUGUCUGGGAAACUGCCUGAUGGAGGGGGAUAACUACUGGAAACGGUAGCUAAUACCGCAUAACGUCGCAAGACCAAAAAGGGGGACCUUCGGGCCUCUUGCCAUCGGAUGUGCCCAGAUGGGAUUAGUUAGUAGGUGGGGUAACGGCUCACCUAGGCGACGAUCCCUAGCUGGUCUGAGAGGAUGACCAGCCACACUGGAACUGAGACACGGUCCAGACUCCUACGGGAGGCAGCAGUGGGGAAUAUUGCACAAUGGGCGCAAGCCUGAUGCAGCCAUGCCGCGUGUAUGAAGAAGGCCUUCGGGUUGUAAAGUACUUUCAGCGGGGAGGAAGGGAGUAAAGUUAAUACCUUUGCUCAUUGACGUUACCCGCAGAAGAAGCACCGGCUAACUCCGUG